UUCUCUUUCUUCUCUCUCUCUAUAUUAUAUAUCUAUAUACAUCUCUCUCUGCUCUCAUUAUUCUACCGAUCAAAGAAACGUCCGCUACCUUCCCCUUUCUCAUCUCCUCUCCCUAAUGGAAAACGAUCAAAGGUUGGUUAGCCUUCUAUUUUGGUUAUGGUUUAUCUAAAUUCCCACAAAUUUAUAUAUUUAUGUACAUGUGCAUGAAUGAAUUUUUGUGAUUGGUUUCUGUUUGAUUAGUUUUGAUCGGUGCCAGCGGCUGAGGCUUCGUUGCAGUCGCCCAAAACCCUAGGUCCGACGAAGGAUUCCGGUGGGGAAUCAAGUGAGCCGGAGGUUCGAUCAUCUGAUCCGUCUAUAAAACAGUUCUUCUCUCUUCUAUUGUGUAAUUGAAAUUUAUUGUUUUAGAGAUUUGGUUUAAUUUCUGGAAUUAAUUUGUUCUUAAUUAUUGAUUAAUUUUAAGUUCUUAUGCCUAAUUGUUUAGGGUUUUUGACUAAUUUGAGAUGGGGUUUGCAGAUGACGAGGUUGUCUCUGCCGAGGGGAUGAACAAGGCGGCUUUGUAGCAGCGUCAACGAGAGAACGUAGGUGCUUUCCAUUUAUUUGUAUUCGAAAUGGGUUUGUUGGAAAUUGGGAUUUGAUUAUGGGUUUUGGGUUAAUUGAUUGUACAACUAGGUGAUUUGGGUUUUGAUUUGGCUUGCAUUCUUUCAGGGUUCUGUAGUUUCUCAGUUGAUAAUUCACUGAUAAGGUAUGAUUUUGAUGUGGCUUUCUAUGAAAUUUUAAUUAUGUUUAUGUGUAUAUAAUUGUGUUUAUAUGAAUCAAAUUUAAGUUUGGUUAUUGUUUUUAAUAUUGGGAUUAUAAUGUGGUAUUCUUUGUUGUGUUGUCAUGAACUAAUAGAGUCAUUUUUGAUUAGGAAUCAAGGGAUGUCAAUUUCUAGGUCUUGAAGACUUCCGUUUACCUCUCAUUGGAACCCAAUUUUCUUGACAGAAUGCUUUUCUGAAGUUCUUCAUUUCAUUUCGUUUGAGGUUCUUUUUAAUUUCACCAAAUGUAUUUUCGAGAUAGAAAAUAUCUUGCAUUUCUGUAGUGUUUUCUUUUUCCUUUCCUAUUAUCUACUUUUAAGUUUAAUAUGAAAAAAUAUUUGUUCAGUGGGGUCAAAUUAGACAUUAAGUCAAAUUGGCAAUGAAUUGUAGUUUCACACACACACACACACACACACACA
RNAcentral lists this long non-coding RNA (1213 nucleotides) under Panax ginseng (ginseng). Its description in RNAcentral is "long non-coding RNA (PGIN_LNC011686)". Lineage: Eukaryota; Viridiplantae; Streptophyta; Magnoliopsida; Apiales; Araliaceae. The record is from RNAcentral.